This 483-nucleotide ribosomal RNA is filed under the name uncultured bacterium. RNAcentral describes it as "partial 16S ribosomal RNA". It matches the Rfam family "Bacterial small subunit ribosomal RNA", at positions 28 to 507 of the family's 1533-position model. The record is from RNAcentral.
GAUGAACGCUGGCGGCGUGCCUAACACAUGCAAGUCGAACGGAGUCGUUUUGGAAAUCUCUUCGGAGAUGGAAUUCUCGACUUAGUGGCGGACGGGUGAGUAACGCGUGAGCAAUCUGCCUUUAAGAGGGGGAUAACAGUCGGAAACGGCUGCUAAUACCGCAUAAAGCAUUAAAUUCGCAUGUUUUUGAUGCCAAAGGAGCAAUCCGCUUUUAGAUGAGCUCGCGUCUGAUUAGCUAGUUGGCGGGGUAACGGCCCACCAAGGCGACGAUCAGUAGCCGGACUGAGAGGUUGAACGGCCACAUUGGGACUGAGACACGGCCCAGACUCCUACGGGAGGCAGCAGUGGGGAAUAUUGCGCAAUGGGGGAAACCCUGACGCAGCAACGCCGCGUGAUGGAAGAAGGCCUUCGGGUUGUAAAGAUCUUUAAUCAGGGACGAAACAAAUGACGGUACCUGAAGAAUAAGCUCCGGCUAACUACGUG